AACGAACGCUGGCGGCGUGCCUAACACAUGCAAGUCGUGCGAGAAAGUUCCUUCGGGAGCGAGUAAAGCGGCGCACGGGUGAGUAACACGUAGGUAACCUGCCCCCCAGUCUGGAACAACCAGAGGAAACUCUAGCUAAUGCCGGAUGAGACCACGAUCCCUUCGGGGGUUGCGGCCAAAGAUGGCCUCUACUUGUAAGCUAUCGCUGAGGGAUGGGCCUGCGGGCCAUUAGCUUGUUGGUGAGGUAACGGCUCACCAAGGCUUCGACGGGUAGCUGGUCUGAGAGGACGAUCAGCCACACUGGCACUGCGACACGGGCCAGACUCCUACGGGAGGCAGCAGUAAGGAAUAUUGCGCAAUGGACGAAAGUCUGACGCAGCGACGCCGCGUGGGGGA
Molecule: ribosomal RNA, 396 nt
Filed under: uncultured bacterium
Lineage: Bacteria
Description: bacterial SSU rRNA
Rfam family: Bacterial small subunit ribosomal RNA
Source: RNAcentral